This 531-nucleotide ribosomal RNA is filed under the name uncultured Sporidiobolus. RNAcentral describes it as "eukaryotic LSU rRNA". It matches the Rfam family "Eukaryotic large subunit ribosomal RNA", at positions 109 to 655 of the family's 3401-position model. The record is from RNAcentral. Lineage: Eukaryota; Fungi; Basidiomycota; Microbotryomycetes; Sporidiobolales.
UCAAAUUUGUAAUCUGGCGUCUUCGACGUCCGAGUUGUAAUCUCGAGAAGUGUUUUCCGUGAUAGACCGCAUACAAGUCUCUUGGAACAGAGCGUCAUAGUGGUGAGAACCCAGUACACGAUGCGGAUGCCUAUUACUUUGUGAUACACUUUCGAAGAGUCGAGUUGUUUGGGAAUGCAGCUCAAAUUGGGUGGUAAAUUCCAUCUAAAGCUAAAUAUAGGCGAGAGACCGAUAGCGAACAAGUACCGUGAGGGAAAGAUGAAAAGCACUUUGGAAAGAGAGUUAACAGUACGUGAAAUUGUUGGAAGGGAAACACAUGCAGUGAUACUUGCUAUUCGGGGCAACUCGAUUGGCAGGCCCGCAUCAGUUUUUCGGGGCGGAAAAUCGUAGAGAGAAGGUAGCAGUUUCGGCUGUGUUAUAGCUCUUUACUGGAUUCGCCCUGGGGGACUGAGGAACGCAGCGUGCUUUUAGCAUGAGCUUCGGCUUAUCCACGCUUAGGAUGCGGGUUUAUGGCUGUAUAUGACCCGUCUU